Molecule: ribosomal RNA, 497 nt
Filed under: uncultured bacterium
Lineage: Bacteria
Description: partial 16S ribosomal RNA
Rfam family: Bacterial small subunit ribosomal RNA
Source: RNAcentral
GAUGAACGCUGGCGGCGUUCCUAAUACAUGCAAGUCGAGCGAACAGACGAGGAGCUUGCUCCUCUGACGUUAGCGGCGGACGGGUGAGUAACACGUGGAUAACCUACCUAUAAGACUGGGAUAACUUCGGGAAACCGGAGCUAAUACCGUAUAACAUGUUGAACCGCAUGGUUCAACAGUGAAAGACGGUCUUGCUGUCACUUAUAGAUGGAUCCGCGCCGCAUUAGCUAGUUGGUAAGGUAACGGCUUACCAAGGCAACGAUGCGUAGCCGACCUGAGAGGGUGAUCGGCCACACUGGAACUGAGACACGGUCCAGACUCCUACGGGAGGCAGCAGUAGGGAAUCUUCCGCAAUGGGCGAAAGCCUGACGGAGCAACGCCGCGUGAGUGAAGAAGGUCUUCAGAUCGUAAAACUCUGUUAUUAGGGAAGAACAAAUGUGUAAGUAACUAUGCACGUCUUGACGGUACCUAAUCAGAAAGCCACGGCUAACUACGUG